UCACUUCACAUUAAGCGAUUAUCGCCUAUAUGGGGGUUGCUCGCUUCGGCGGGCUAUGGCGAUAAAUUGCGCCGUGUAAUAGGUACAGCGGACCCGGGGGCAGUACCCGGCGGCUCCACCAGAAUCGGCGGUUUUCCGCCAGUCCUGACGGGGCCGAACCAGGAUCGACGUGUGCUGAAAGACGGCGUUUUUGCUCGGGCUGAGUAACCCGUAAAACUGUUCACAACACACAAGUGCCAACGAUAACGAAGCACUCGCAAUCGCUGCGUAAUUUUAAGACCUAACGGUCUGAAUUUACAAAGCUAAAGCGCGGUUGGACCCACCGGGCAACAGAAGCGGAUUCCG
Molecule: transfer-messenger RNA, 345 nt
Filed under: Aurantiacibacter zhengii
Lineage: Bacteria; Pseudomonadati; Pseudomonadota; Alphaproteobacteria; Sphingomonadales; Erythrobacteraceae
Description: Erythrobacter sp. V18 transfer-messenger RNA
Rfam family: Alphaproteobacteria transfer-messenger RNA
About the family: Bacterial tmRNA, also known as 10Sa RNA or SsrA, is named for its dual tRNA and mRNA-like properties.
Source: RNAcentral